Molecule: ribosomal RNA, 378 nt
Filed under: uncultured bacterium
Lineage: Bacteria
Description: bacterial SSU rRNA
Rfam family: Bacterial small subunit ribosomal RNA
Source: RNAcentral
AGAGUUUGAUCCUGGCUCAGAACGAACGCUGGCGGCAGGCUUAACACAUGCAAGUCGAACGCACCGCAAGGUGAGUGGCAGACGGGUGAGUAACGCGUGGGAAUCUACCUAGCUCUUCGGAAUAGCUCCGGGAAACUGGAAUUAAUACCGAGUACGCCCUACGGGGGAAAGAUUUAUCGGAGUUAGAUGAGCCCGCGUUGGAUUAGCUAGUUGGUGGGGUAAUGGCCUACCAAGGCGACGAUCCAUAGCUGGUCUGAGAGGAUGAUCAGCCACACUGGGACUGAGACACGGCCCAGACUCCUACGGGAGGCAGCAGUGGGGAAUAUUGGACAAUGGGCGCAAGCCUGAUCCAGCCAUGCCGCGUGAGUGAUGAAGGCC